This 422-nucleotide ribosomal RNA is filed under the name uncultured bacterium. RNAcentral's name for it is "partial 16S ribosomal RNA". It matches the Rfam family "Bacterial small subunit ribosomal RNA", at positions 360 to 774 of the family's 1533-position model. The record is from RNAcentral.
AAUUUUGGAAAAUGGGGGAAACCCUGAUCCAGCCAUCCCGCGUGUAUGAUGAAGGCCUUCGGGUUGUAAAGUACUUUUGGCAGAGAAGAAAAGGUAUCUUCUAAUACGAGGUACUGCUGACGGUAUCUGCAGAAUAAGCACCGGCUAACUACGUGCCAGCCUCCGCUGUAAUACGUAGGGGUCAAGCGUUCACCGGAAUUACUGGGCGUAAAGCGUGUGUAGGCGGUUCGGAAAGAAAGAUGUUAAAUCCCAGGGCUCAACCUUGGAACUGCAUUUUUAACUGCCGAGCUAGAGUAUGUCAGAGGGGGGUAGAAUUCCACGUGUAGCAGUGAAAUGCGUAGAUAUGUGGAGGAAUACCGAUGGCGAAGGCAGCCCCCUGGGAUAAUACUGACGCUCAGACACGAAAGCGUGGGGAGCAAACA